UAAAUCUGUCAUACUUAGGUACAGACUGACGUGGGUGUGGACACUAAGCAUCAAACACUACAAGGAGUAGCAUUUCCCAUUUCUCGAGAAGCCUUUCAGGCUUUGGAAAAAUUGAAUAACAGACAGCUCAACUAUGUGCAGUUGGAAAUAGAUAUAAAAAAUGAAAUUAUAAUUUUGGCCAACACAACAGAUACAGAACUGAAAGAUUUGCCAAAGAGGAUUCCCAAGGAUUCAGCUCGUUACCAUUUCUUUCUGUAUAAACAUUCCCAUGAAGGAGACUAUUUAGAGUCCAUAGUUUUUAUUUAUUCAAUGCCUGGAUACACAUGCAGUAUAAGAGAGCGGAUGCUGUAUUCUAGCUGCAAGAGCCCUCUGCUAGAAAUUGUAGAAAGACAACUACAAAUGGAUGUAAUUAGAAAGAUCGAGAUAGACAAUGGGGAUGAGUUGACUGCAGACUUCCUUUAUGAAGAAGUACAUCCCAAGCAGCAUGCACACAAGCAAAGUUUUGCAAAACCAAAAGGUCCUGCAGGAAAAAGAGGAAUUCGAAGACUAAUUAGGGGCCCAGCGGAAACUGAAGCUACUACUGAUUAAAGUCAUCACAUUAAACAUUGCAAUACUAG
Molecule: small RNA, 617 nt
Filed under: Pongo abelii (Sumatran orangutan)
Lineage: Eukaryota; Metazoa; Chordata; Mammalia; Primates; Hominidae
Description: retained intron
Source: RNAcentral